This 205-nucleotide ribosomal RNA is filed under the name Clostridioides difficile. RNAcentral describes it as "partial 23S ribosomal RNA". It matches the Rfam family "Bacterial large subunit ribosomal RNA", at positions 1940 to 2144 of the family's 2925-position model. Lineage: Bacteria; Bacillati; Bacillota; Clostridia; Peptostreptococcales; Peptostreptococcaceae. The record is from RNAcentral.
CUAUAACGGUCCUAAGGUAGCGAAAUUCCUUGUCGGGUAAGUUCCGACCCGCACGAAAGGCGUAACGAUUUGGGCACUGUCUCAACAACAGACUCGGUGAAAUUGUAAUUCCGGUGAAGAUGCCGGAUACCUGCGACAGGACGGAAAGACCCCAUGGAGCUUUACUGUAGCUUGACAUUGGGUCUUGGUACUACAUGUACAGGAU